UGGUGGAGCGAUUUGUCUGGUUAAUUCCGGUAUGCUAAAUAGGCGUCGUCAUUUAGGUGUGCGUGGCUCCGUCACGCAACUCACUGGCGACGUAUUAAAAUUCUUCUUAGAGGGACCGGCGGCUUCGAGCCGCACGAGAUUGAGCAAUAACA
RNAcentral lists this ribosomal RNA (152 nucleotides) under uncultured eukaryote. Its description in RNAcentral is "partial 18S ribosomal RNA". The record is from RNAcentral.